GCAUUGCGUGACACGUCUGUUAAUGUGACUGACCUCGAUAUGUUGUUCUCGAAUAAUGUGAACCGUAGGCCUGGAGAGCAGUAUGCGAUUGACGCCAUUCAACAACAGUUGUUGUUGGCAGUUCUCGAGUUUGGGUGGCAACUUCGGCGUCGGGACUCGCUCCAUCUCUGUCUAUGGCAAAGUCGCAGCAGCAGCAGCAACAAGAACAAUAAGUAGUAUCUUAGCGGUGUUCUGGGAUAUGGGGCUUCAUGUAUGUGCUUAAAUUGUCAUCCCAGAUUAGCCUGUGCAGACUGCACAUACAUUAAGUCAUAUUAAAUUGUCAUCCCAGAUUAGCCUGUGCAGACUGCACAUACAUUAAGUCCUAUUAAAGUGUCAUCCCAGAUUAGCCUAUGCAGACUGCACAUACAUUAAGCCCUAUUAAAGUGUCAUCCCAGUUUAGUCUGUGCAGACUGCACAUACAUUAAGUCCUAUUAAAUUGUCAUCCCAGAUUAGCCUGUGCAGUUUUUGUACCCCCACUAAACGAAGUUUAGGGGGGUAUAUAAGAGUGAGCUUGUCUUUUGGUCAGUCAGUCUGUCGGUCGGGCAGUCUGUCCGUGUCCGCUCUCUAAUUCAAGUUGUUUUUAUCCAAUCUUGACCAAACUUGGUCAGAAGUUGUAUCUAGAUGAUGUCUAGGUCAAGUUCGAAUAUGGGUCAUGCCGGGUCAAAAACUAGGUCACGGGGUUACAUACUGCGUUUUAAACAUUGAACAUGGUGUCCACUCUCUAACUCAAGUAGUUUUCAUUUUUAUUUGAUCAAUCAUGGUAAAUAAAUAUCAAAUAAAAGUUUAUCUUAUAUCAGAUUUAAUCAUAGGUCAGGGCAUAGUUUUGUCUAUUGUUUGGCUAAAUUUUUGCCUUACCCAAAGUUUCUCCUUGCAAUAAAAAAUCCGCUUUAAUUUAAUAGAACUAUUAAAUUUUAUUCAAUUUUCAUAAAACAAUUAUUUAAAUGUCUUUAGCACAUUAUGCAAGUAUUCUCUUCAUUUAUUUUCAAUAUUUAUUGAAAUUCCAGGAUUUUGUUUUAAAAGCCGGUUCCUACAUUACCCCAUGCAAUCAUAGAUCGAUAACCAGCUGAACAACAGGCUGUCUGGUCAGCUGGGCCCAGACUUCCAGUGACACUUCCUGGGCAUGGGGAUGAUUGACUCUUGAUCCAGGAUCUUAGGGCAAGAGCUCUCGUGUUUGGGUUAUAUAUUGAUAGGGCAUAGUUUUGUCUAUUUGUCUGCUUAAAUUCAGCCCCUAAACCAAAUGUUUCUGCUUGCAUAAAAAUCCGUUUAAUAGAAUUGUUAACUAUUAUUUAAUUUGAGUAAUUAUUAAAAUGCCUUCAGCACAUUAUACACGUAUUCUCUUCCAAUUUGCAAUAUUUAUUUAAAUUCAUGGAUUUUGUUUUAAGAGUCGUUUCUUACAGGACUUCAUAAUAGCCGCCUUGUUGUAUUGCCUUGAAAGGGCGCAGGGGGGUUGUAUAGAUUUGCCCUUGUCUGUAAAUCUCUCUGUCCUUCCUUUCAUCCUUUCUUACAUCCGUCCCACUUUUUUAUUGUUGCUCAUAACUAAAUAAAUAUUGGUUUCAGAGGUUUGAAAUAUGUGUGUAUCAAUUGUACAUUUUAUAUAGUAGGUUAUGUUUGUAUCAAGUGUUUAGUGUAUAUCCCAUUUGUAUCAAGAGCCUUUAUUACAGUGUAUUUCAUUUAUUAUUUAAUCAAACAAAAUUGAUCGACUUCCAAUAUAACUGAUACCAUUUCAGAAUGCAUCCAAUUAUUUGGUAUACAGGAACUCAUUUGUGGGACGGUCCUUAUCAUCACAAGGUGAGGCCCAGAGAAUGAUGUUAACCAAUUCCGACUCAGCCACUAAAUCUCAAUAGGUUGAGCAUCCUAGGGUGCCUAGCAAUGAAAUCCUCCACUAUGACCUUGUCCUUACCCCAGCACUCACCUGGUGGUCAGGUUGGAGGUCACAUCGGCCUGGUUGGUCAUGGCAAAAUCUGGAUAGCAGAGCGUUGAGUUUGGUCUGGAAGCAUUUGCUGUCACAGCUCCAUGGUGCAGGACCAUCAGUCUAAGAACAUCUUGCAGAGUGAUCCUUUGGUG
Molecule: long non-coding RNA, 2103 nt
Organism: Dreissena polymorpha
Lineage: Eukaryota; Metazoa; Mollusca; Bivalvia; Myida; Dreissenidae
Exons: 3
Source: RefSeq, a predicted model, not a curated record